Molecule: non-coding RNA, 215 nt
Filed under: Niastella koreensis
Lineage: Bacteria; Pseudomonadati; Bacteroidota; Chitinophagia; Chitinophagales; Chitinophagaceae
Source: RNAcentral
CUUUAACGCAUGUUUUUGGGUUUCUCUUCUGACCUGAACGGGAGAGGAUUAAAAAGGAACCGUGUGUGAAUCACGGGCUGUCGCGCAACUGUAUGUUGUAGUGGGUAUUGUUCCCACAGCGCUGCAUAAGAAGCCACUGUAGCAGACCUCAAUGUUAUGGGAAGGCAUGUAGCAGAACAACGAGCCAGGAUACUUGCCUGAAAACGGAGACCAAU